This 22-nucleotide non-coding RNA is filed under the name Rattus norvegicus (Norway rat). The record is from RNAcentral. Lineage: Eukaryota; Metazoa; Chordata; Mammalia; Rodentia; Muridae.
UGUAGGAUAAUGCACUUCCUAU